UGGAGUGUGACAAUGGUGUUUGUAUCCAAUCCGUCAAACGCCAUUAUCACACUAAAUA
RNAcentral lists this microRNA precursor (58 nucleotides) under Anolis carolinensis (green anole). Its description in RNAcentral is "Aca-Mir-122_pre stem-loop". Lineage: Eukaryota; Metazoa; Chordata; Lepidosauria; Squamata; Anolidae. The record is from RNAcentral.